GGUGGUGGUGUGGGGGAGGAAUGGGUGAAAGUGUUGUCCUCAAGAAUUAUGCUAUACCAAGGAGACUUCUGAUUACAUUAUUGUACAGGCAAAUCAAAUAAUGUUGCACCACUUUGUGUAGUUUAUGAAAAUCUAUGGAAUACAGCAAACAAUAAUAACAAAAAUGUUAGAAUUCUUCCGCUCAUCAGGUGGGAAGCUGCAGAAACAUUGUGAGCCCCAACAGAAUACACUGAACCAGAACUAUCAUCCCUCACUUUGAUGCCUGAAGAGCCUAAAAUAACCAAAAACAUGCAAAGAGCAAGGCAAGAAUAAAUCCUUGAUUCAUUUAUAAUUAACUGUAUGCCAGAAUGUGGAGGAAGACUGAAUUUUCAUUUGAUAUAUGUCAAUCUGUUGAAAGGAAAAU
This 403-nucleotide unclassified non-coding RNA is filed under the name Hevea brasiliensis (rubber tree). Lineage: Eukaryota; Viridiplantae; Streptophyta; Magnoliopsida; Malpighiales; Euphorbiaceae. The record is from RNAcentral.